This is a small nuclear RNA of Salarias fasciatus (jewelled blenny), 136 nucleotides long. Its record names the gene U4. It matches the Rfam family "U4 spliceosomal RNA". From Rfam's summary of the family: U4 small nuclear RNA (U4 snRNA) is a component of the major U2-dependent spliceosome. The structure of U4 snRNA from yeast and human has been reported. The record is from Ensembl. Lineage: Eukaryota; Metazoa; Chordata; Actinopteri; Blenniiformes; Blenniidae.
AGCUUUGCGCAGUGGCAGUAUCGUAGCCUAUGAGGUUUAUCCGAGGUGCGAUUAUUGCUAGUUGAAAACUUUAUCGAAUGCCCUGGUGACUUGAAAUGUCAUCGGCAAUGGCAAUUUUUAACGGUCUCUGAGGAGA